Molecule: RNA transcript, 2385 nt
Organism: Corythoichthys intestinalis (scribbled pipefish)
Lineage: Eukaryota; Metazoa; Chordata; Actinopteri; Syngnathiformes; Syngnathidae
Gene: ss18
Gene name: SS18 subunit of BAF chromatin remodeling complex
Exons: 10
Source: RefSeq, a predicted model, not a curated record
ACCACCCCCCUAAACUGGACGAGUGCAUUCCAACAUCGCGUCCUAUUCUAAACUGUUACAACGGAGUUGUACAGAUUUACCAAGUGAGCGCGCGAUUUUUAGCUUUUUAUGAUCUCGGUUAUUUAAUUGACCUCAAUUAUCACCAUGUCGGUGGCGUUCGCACCUCACAGACAGCGUGGGAAGGGUGAUAUUACUCCCGCCGGAAUACAAAAGCUACUUGAUGAAAAUAAUCACUUGAUUCAGAGCAUUAUGGACUUCCAGAGCAAGGGCAAAACAACAGAAUGUUCACAGUAUCAACAAAUACUGCACAGAAAUUUAGUGUACCUGGCCACAAUAGCAGACUCAAAUCAGAACAUGCAGUCUCUCCUCCCAGCACCACCCACUCAAAACAUGUCAAUGGGUCCUGGUGGGAUGAACCAAAGCGGAGGUCCACCUCAGCCAAGUCACGGUCAUAACAUGCCCUCGGAGGGUAUGGUUGGCUGCGGUCCCCCGGCCCCUCACAUGCAGAACCAGAUGAAUGGACAGAUGCCUGGGCCCAAUCACAUGCCUAUGCAGGGCCCCGGUCCAGGUCCUAACCAGCCCCCUAACAUGCCUGCCGGCUCUAUGAACAUGCCUCCAAGCAGCCACGGCUCGAUGGGCGGCUACAACCAUGCUGUCCCUUCGUCGCAGGGAAUGCCGGCACAAAGCCAGAUGAACAUGACGCAGGGUCAGCCCAUGGGCAACUACGGACCGCGACCCAAUAUGAACAUGCAGCCCAGUCAAGGCCCCAUGAUGCACCAGCAGCCUCCCUCCCAGCAGUAUAACAUGCCUCCAGGCAGUGGUGGGCAGCACUACCAAGGCCAGCAGAACCCAAUGGGCAUGAUGGGCCAGGUUAACCAGGGCAAUCAUGUCAUGGGGCAGAGGCCGAUGCCCCCGUAUAGACCGCCUCAGCAAGGACCCCCUCAGCAGUACCCAGGGCAGGAAGACUACUAUGGGGACCAGUACAGUCACGCAGGACAGGGAGCCUCAGAAGGUAAUGCCCAGUACGGCCAACAGCAAGAGGCCUAUCAGCAAGGUCCCCCACAGCAACAGGGGUACCCCCCUCAGCAGCAGUACCCGGGUCAACAGGGCUACCCACCGCAACAGCAGGGCUAUGGUCCUUCCCAGAAUGCCCCUGGACAGUACCCCAACUAUCCCCAGGGGCAGGGACAGCAGUACGGUGGCUAUCGCCCCCCUCAGCCAGGUCCCCCGCAGGGCCAGCAGCAGCGCCCUUACGGCUAUGACCAGGUGAGUAUGGGCCCAGCAAUGUGAGCAGCUAGAUUUUAUAUAGUUAAUACAGCUAUAGUUUGUCCCUCAUUUUUGACUUGCUGUGUAUUUUUUGCAUGCUCUGAACGUAUUUGGGCUUACUUGAUGUAUGUCGCUAUUGCCAUUCCCGUUUUAAUCUCGGUUGUGUAUUGUGGUUAAUGUAGCAUGCCCUCUUCAGGGAAAAUAUGAGGGCUUCUUCUUUAAGUUUGCUGCAGACUGCCGUGGUUCUUCUUGCCCUGUAAUAUCCUGUGGUCUCAUGAUGGGGACCAGAGCUACACUUUGAUAUCUUUAUCUUUGAAUAUUCAGGGGCACAUGAGGAAAUAAAGGCCCGGGGAUUUGAACCCCCUGACUAGCUCUAUAAGAAGCAAAGGGCCAGUAUGGAAAUUACCAGCAAUGAAAAACACCCACACAGAUGAUAUGAGAGUCACAGCAGCACAAACAAACAAACAAAACAUUCUCCUCCACUUUUUUGGGCUUGUAACCAUAAACAUGUCAUUUCAAGUGACCCCCCCCCCCCCUGCCCCCUUGAGGUCCAGUACGUCUCAAAGCGGCAGUGCCUUAAAGUGGGAGCUGCCUUAUCCUUUAGCAUUCAGUCGACUGUAUGACAUCAUUUUGGUUUUUUUUUUUGGCAGACUGUUCAAAAGUGGUUCUACUGUGGUUCAUGCUUCAGCUCCCUGUUAAUAAUAAGAAGCAGUAAUAGCAGUAGCGGAUAAAAUGUAUGUGUAAAGAGAGGAGGGGCACGGUGUAGAGUUUAGAUAGCAAACUUCCUGCUAUACUUGCCCAUACAGGUACAUGUCUCGAUGUAUGUGAUGUAAAAAAUUCUAUUUUUUUUUUUUUUUUUUUUUUUUUAAGAAACAGAUGACUUUGUAUAAGAAAUUGAAAGCUAGUACUAAGAUGUGUAAGUGUCAGUGUUUUUUUUUUUUUUUUUUUUGUCAUUCGGGAUGUUGUUGUGAUGAACUGAACUGUUCAGUCACAAUUGCGUUCCUCAAAUUGUAAUUUCUAGAAGGACAGCAAACUUACCACUAGAACGUGUUAAUUUGUAAAACACUUUUACUGUACUAAAUGAACUGUGCCAACUUUAGGGGUGAAAAAGAAAAGGAA